Molecule: ribosomal RNA, 605 nt
Filed under: Jamesozyma lodderae
Lineage: Eukaryota; Fungi; Ascomycota; Saccharomycetes; Saccharomycetales; Saccharomycetaceae
Description: LSU rRNA
Rfam family: Eukaryotic large subunit ribosomal RNA
Source: RNAcentral
UUAAGCAUAUCAAUAAGCGGAGGAAAAGAAACCAACCGGGAUUGCCUUAGUAACGGCGAGUGAAGCGGCAAAAGCUCAAAUUUGAAAUCUAGUACCUUCGGUGCUCGAGUUGUAAUUUGUAGAGGGAUACUUUGGGGCCGUUCCUUAUCUAUGUUCCUUGGAACAGGACGUCAUAGAGGGUGAGAAUCCCGUAUGAUGAGGAGUGCGGUUCUAUGUAAAGUGCUCUCGAAGAGUCGAGUUGUUUGGGAAUGCAGCUCUAAGUGGGUGGUAAAUUCCAUCUAAAGCUAAAUAUUGGCGAGAGACCGAUAGCGAACAAGUACAGUGAUGGAAAGAUGAAAAGAACUUUGAAAAGAGAGUGAAAAAGUACGUGAAAUUGUUGAAAGGGAAGGGCAUUUGAUCAGACAUGGUGUUUUGCGCCCUCUGCUCCUUGUGGGUGGGGGACUCUCGCAGCUCACUGGGCCAGCAUCAGUUUUGGCGGCAGGAUAAAUCUGUAGGAAUGUAGCUUGCUUCGGGAAGUGUUAUAGCCUGCGGGAAUACUGCCAGCUGGGAUUGAGGACUGCGACAUUCGUCAAGGAUGCUGGCAUAAUGGUUAUAUGCCGCCCGUU